RNAcentral lists this ribosomal RNA (253 nucleotides) under uncultured bacterium. RNAcentral's name for it is "partial 16S ribosomal RNA". It matches the Rfam family "Bacterial small subunit ribosomal RNA", at positions 524 to 776 of the family's 1533-position model. The record is from RNAcentral.
UACGUAGGGUGCAAGCGUUAAUCGGAAUUACUGGGCGUAAAGCGUGCGCAGGCGGUUCCAUAAGACAGAUGUGAAAUCCCCGGGCUCAACCUGGGAACUGCAUUUGUGACUGUGGGGCUAGAGUACGGUAGAGGGGGAUGGAAUUCCGCGUGUAGCAGUGAAAUGCGUAGAUAUGCGGAGGAACACCAAUGGCGAAGGCAAUCCCCUGGACCUGUACUGACGUUCAUGCACGAAAGCGUGGGGAGCAAACAGG